RNAcentral lists this ribosomal RNA (301 nucleotides) under uncultured bacterium. RNAcentral's name for it is "partial 16S ribosomal RNA". It matches the Rfam family "Bacterial small subunit ribosomal RNA", at positions 509 to 808 of the family's 1533-position model. The record is from RNAcentral.
CAGCCGCCACGGUAAUACGGAGGAUCCAAGCGUUAUCCGGAAUCAUUGGGUUUAAAGGGUCCGUAGGCGGUCUUGUAAGUCAGUGGUGAAAGCCCAUCGCUCAACGGUGGAACGGCCAUUGAUACUGCAGGACUUGAAUUAUUGGGAAGUAACUAGAAUAUGUAGUGUAGCGGUGAAAUGCUUAGAGAUUACAUGGAAUACCAAUUGCGAAGGCAGGUUACUACCAAUUGAUUGACGCUGAUGGACGAAAGCGUGGGUAGCGAACAGGAUUAGAUACCCUGUAGUCCCUGUCUCUUAUACC